This 72-nucleotide transfer RNA is filed under the name Camelus ferus (Wild Bactrian camel). It matches the Rfam family "tRNA". From Rfam's summary of the family: Transfer RNA (tRNA) molecules are approximately 80 nucleotides in length. Their secondary structure includes four short double-helical elements and three loops (D, anti-codon, and T loops). Further hydrogen bonds mediate the characteristic L-shaped molecular structure. tRNAs have two regions of fundamental functional importance: the anti-codon, which is responsible for specific mRNA codon recognition, and the 3' end, to which the tRNAs corresponding amino acid is attached (by aminoacyl-tRNA synthetases). tRNAs cope with the degeneracy of the genetic code in two manners: having more than one tRNA (with a specific anti-codon) for a particular amino acid; and 'wobble' base-pairing, i.e. permitting non-standard base-pairing at the 3rd anti-codon position. The record is from Rfam by way of RNAcentral. Lineage: Eukaryota; Metazoa; Chordata; Mammalia; Artiodactyla; Camelidae.
GGGAAUAUAGCUCAGUAGUAGAGCCUAUUCUUGGUGUGCACAAGGUCCUGGGUUCAAUCCCCAGUGCCUCCA